GUGAUACUGUUUGUGUCUCAGUUCUGAGCAGGUUUAUUGAUCUGAUAUCUGAGUGUAUGUGACAGGAAACAGAAAGUAGUGAUCAGUCAGUAAAUUCAUGAAGAAGAAGAAGAAGAGGGUUUCCUACACAGGACUAUUCUUUGGAAUGCAAUAAUGUACUACAGUCAGUUACAACUGCUGAACUGCUGUUCAAGACCUUUGCAGCGGAGCUAACGUGGUGUCCCGGGUUUCAGAUUCUCAUCUGGUUCCUGCCAGAUGAAGAAGAAACCCUGUCCUACAGAAAACAAUGACUACAGACCAGUGGCUUUAACUUUAACUUACAUGGUAUCCGUGUUGAAAUCUGAAGUUAAUUCUGAACUAGAUCCACUCCAGUUUGCUCAUAGGCAGAGGAAGAGUACAUCAUCACCCACCUGAGUCUUCAGCGUCUGGAGGA
Acanthopagrus latus (yellowfin seabream) is the source of this 433-nucleotide long non-coding RNA. RefSeq lists it as uncharacterized. The record is from RefSeq and is a predicted model, not a curated record. The transcript is spliced from 3 exons. Lineage: Eukaryota; Metazoa; Chordata; Actinopteri; Spariformes; Sparidae.